Molecule: ribosomal RNA, 467 nt
Filed under: uncultured bacterium
Lineage: Bacteria
Description: partial 16S ribosomal RNA
Rfam family: Bacterial small subunit ribosomal RNA
Source: RNAcentral
ACGAACGCUGGCGGCGUGCUUAACACAUGCCAGUCGAACGGAAAGGCCCUGCUUUUGUGGGGUGCUCGAGUGGCGAACGGGUGAGUAACACGUGAGUAACCUGCCCUUGACUUUGGGAUAACCUCAGGAAACUGGGGCUAAUACCGGAUAGGAGCUCCUGCUGCAUGGUGGGGGUUGGAAAGUUUCGGCGGUUGGGGAUGGACUCGCGGUUUAUCAGCUUGUUGGUGGGGUAGUGGCUUACCAAGGCUUUGACGGGUAGCCGGCCUGAGAGGGUGACCGGCCACAUUGGGACUGAGAUACGGCCCAGACUCCUACGGGAGGCAGCAGUGGGGAAUAUUGCACAAUGGGCGGAAGCCUGAUGCAGCAACGCCGCGUGCGGGAUGACGGCCUUCGGGUUGUAAACCGCUUUCGCCUGUGACGAAGCGUGAGUGACGGUAAUGGGUAAAGAAGCACCGGCUAACUACGUG